Molecule: long non-coding RNA, 250 nt
Filed under: Elaeis guineensis (African oil palm)
Lineage: Eukaryota; Viridiplantae; Streptophyta; Magnoliopsida; Arecales; Arecaceae
Description: long non-coding RNA (EGUI_LNC078289)
Source: RNAcentral
UGAUGCAUUUCUUUUGAUAAGACAGAUAAUUUAUAAAUAUUUGCUAGACAUUGAACAUCGAAUUUUAUAUUUUAUUACUUAUCUUUAUUUUUAGAUUAUAUUAUUAUAUUGGUGUGAUAUGAAAAUUUUUACUGGACUGUAAAGCUCACACCUCUUCAUUUUUUUUUCUUUUCAGAGUUACAAGGUGUGCAUAGUUGGCUAUGGUAUGGAUUUACGAGUGAACGGAUGCAUAAAUAGAGUGCCAUUGAUA